CGUGUAGGCGGCCCGGUAAGUCCGCUGUGAAAGUCGGGGGCUCAACCCUCGAAUGCCGGUGGAUACUGUCGGGCUAGAGUACGGAAGAGGCGAGUGGAAUUCCUGGUGUAGCGGUGAAAUGCGCAGAUAUCAGGAGGAACACCAAUUGCGAAGGCAGCUCGCUGGGACGUUACUGACGCUGAGACGCGAAAGCGUGGGGAGCAAACAGGAUUAGAUACCCUGGUAGUCCACGCUGUAAACGAUGGGCACUAGGUGUGGGGGGUGUCGACUCCCUCCGUGCCGAAGCUAACGCAUUAAGUGCCCCGCCUGGGGAGUACGGCCGCAAGGCUAAA
RNAcentral lists this ribosomal RNA (332 nucleotides) under uncultured bacterium. Its description in RNAcentral is "bacterial SSU rRNA". It matches the Rfam family "Bacterial small subunit ribosomal RNA", at positions 568 to 898 of the family's 1533-position model. The record is from RNAcentral.